Long non-coding RNA from Pogona vitticeps (central bearded dragon), 2184 nucleotides. The record is from Ensembl. NCBI's taxonomy places the organism in Eukaryota, Metazoa, Chordata, Lepidosauria, Squamata, Agamidae.
AUGGGGAAAAGGAGAAGAUCCAAACACCCCCUCAGCCAAGAGAACUCGCCGAUAAAGACAUCAAAACAGAGGCGGCUGGAAGACUGCCCGGCAUGGUCAGACGCUGCAGAACCAGAGGGUGAGUUUGCUAGACCUGGCUCUCCCGGUUCCCUAAUCAGAGAUUUCGCAGAAGACCAGUUGUUAUCCUCCUUGACUUCACAAGAUAAACAUUCCUCACAAACUGAGAAUGCUUUUAGCAAUUUCUUUUUAACUCUGCUUGGCGAACACUGCGUAAUUACUGGGGAGACAAUUAUAUAUAUAUGUCAACAGCUUAAUGCCAUUAUAGCUCACCUGGACAAGCUCAACAAGACUAUUCUGCCCAUAUCUUUAUGUCCCGGACUAGACACAGGACCUCACUCUAGUUGCCUAGAGAGAAACAGAAAAUUAACCGUACCUGAUACUCGGAUGUGUGCAGAGGUUUCCAAGGGGACAUGCCGCUCCCUAAUGAGAAAUCAAAUUGUGUUGGAGGUCUGGGACACCCCGUUAAACAAAGGUAGAUGGACAAAUAAGCAACAUGUGCUCAAUUCACUGGGCAGCCUCUUAUGCUUGGAUAGUCAUAAGAUUGAUUUAUUAGAAAUGACAUGUCUUCCGCGGUGCUCCCGAUGGCCGCGCUGCCUCCGUGUGCUGCUGAAGUUCAAAAGUUUCAGAAUUCCUCGUUUACUCUAUGAGAAAAAAUAUCUUCUCGAAUUCUACAAUAUAUUCUUGCGAAGAGUGUUCAGCGACACGCCUCUUAAACCACUGAUAUCAAAGAACAUGCUGAAAUGCUCUUUAUCAGCUUCCUCUGAAGCUCCAAGGACAAGACCUGGACAGCUGCCCAGCUCUCAGUUAAGAGGUAACGGCCUUCAGAAUACAAUCAUUAGAGCUGACUCUCCAUCUGUUAAGAGCCCAGGCGUUCCUUCUCUACUAUCUGAACUAAAAGCAGCAACUAACAAUAUUGGAAGAUCCUUAGCGAAGCUAAAAUCAGCUCAUCUUGAGCCUCGCGUGGAAACACACUUGUCUUGUCCCAGUCUAAGUAGUGCCCAGCACAUCGGAAAAGGCAAAGGGAAGAGGAAAAGCAAGGAAUUAUGCAAUGAUUCUCCUCCUGACCCUUCAGAAUCCAAGUCUACAGCUGAUGCAUUGGGAAUUACUCUCCCUGGGGCAACAGCACCAAGCCCCUUGUCCAAACAUAAUACCUCCACUAUGGACCUGAUCAUUCCUGAACCAGACACAUCAGCAGAUCUGAUGUCACUAAUUUCGCCAGCCAGACCCUCAAGUGAGACACCAGGCCAACUGGAAACAAUUGGCAUUUCCUCAAAAAAAGUUCCAUCGGGGGAGACACUGCCUAGGACGAAGCCUAAAGCCACCCCAAUCUUGGAGCACCUCUCUUGGAAGCCCAUUGAUGUGUGCCCUCAGACUGAACCAUUGUCCACCCUACCACAUAUACAGCCCAGUUUCAGCUCCACCAACGGUCCUGACCCAGGAGAACUUCUACUGCAGCUUGAUAUCGAUAUAGACAGCGAGAUUUUGCCUAGCGAGGCCAUUGAUGGGUUUAAAGUGCUACCACGAGAAAACCAGAAUCUGGUGCUCAAGAAGGUAGAGGCCUUAAGGCAGGAGCUGAGGACUCUGGUCGAAUCCUCCCAGCCCAAGAGCACCCUUGAAGGAUCCUUAUCCCCUCGGGGGACGAACGCCUCUAUCUCGUCGAUCUCCAAUGAGCCUACAAUAAGGUUAGAAGCCUGCAAGGGCAGGACCCCUCCACAUAAGGAAUACACCCAGGCAGUGUUGCCUACAACUACCUGCACUCCAGUGGGCCCCUUGUCGCUAACCUCCUCACCGUCUACUGGUGCCCAGUUCACCAGAGGAGCACAAAGAAUGCAGGAUGACCAGCCAGGACACGACAACAGAGGCUACAGUGAUCUCUCUCAGCCCCCUACUCUCAGCAAGGAACCACUGACAUCACUGCAAGUGCCCUGCUCCUCAUCUAAUCCAGCUAAGGUGAGCGUGGACAUUCACAACCACAAGAAUCUCAGUGACUGCCCUACGGUCCCACUGGUUCUGCUUGAACCCUCGGCUACCUUGGCUGCAGACAACCUAUCCAGGGUGGUCCCAUAUGCAGACAGUCUGCCGCUGAAGCCGAUGAUGUGUACCCCACUGCUGUCUGCAAACUGA